RNAcentral lists this long non-coding RNA (214 nucleotides) under Mytilus galloprovincialis (Mediterranean mussel). Lineage: Eukaryota; Metazoa; Mollusca; Bivalvia; Mytilida; Mytilidae. The record is from RNAcentral.
CUGCCACGAGAGAGCAUAUAGUGCUAUAAAUGGCAUUAGGCACUGUCACGAGAGAGCAUAUAGUGCUAUCAAUGACGUUAAACACCACGAGAGAGCAUAUAGUGCUAUAAAUGGCGUUAGGCACUGCCACGAGAGAUCAUAUAGUGCUGUAAAUGGCGUUAGGCACUGCCACGAGAGAGCAUAUAGUGCUAUAAAUGGCGUUAGGCACUGCCAC